Molecule: ribosomal RNA, 488 nt
Filed under: uncultured bacterium
Lineage: Bacteria
Description: bacterial SSU rRNA
Rfam family: Bacterial small subunit ribosomal RNA
Source: RNAcentral
GACGAACGCUGGCGGCGUGCUUAACACAUGCAAGUCGAACGGGGUCCAACCAAUGGCAACAUUGGGGAAGACCUAGUGGCGAACGGGUGAGUAACACGUGAGGAACCCACCCCGAUCUCAGGAAUAACAGUGGGAAACCACUGCUAAUACCGGAUGCCUUCCUCGGGUCACAUGGCUCGGCGAAGAAAGGGUUACCGGAUCGGGAGGGCCUCGCGGCCUAUCAGCUUGUUGGCGGGGUAACGGCCCACCAAGGCAGCGACGGGUAGCUGGUCAGAGAGGAUGAUCAGCCACACUGGGACUGAGACACGGCCCAGACUCCUACGGGAGGCAGCAGUGGGGAAUCUUGCGCAAUGGGCGAAAGCCUGACGCAGCAACGCCGCGUGGGGGAUGAAGGCCCUCGGGUUGUAAACCCCUUUCAGCAGGAACGAAAAUGACGGUACCUGCAGAAGAAGGCCCGGCCAACUACGUGCCAGCAGCCGCCGUAAAAC